AGUGAACGCUGGCGGUAGGCCUAACACAUGCAAGUCGAACGGCAGCACAGUAAGAGCUUGCUCUUACGGGUGGCGAGUGGCGGACGGGUGAGGAAUACAUCGGAAUCUACUUUUUCGUGGGGGAUAACGUAGGGAAACUUACGCUAAUACCGCAUACGACAUACGGGUGAAAGCAGGGGAUCUUCGGACCUUGCGCGAUUGAAUGAGCCGAUGUCGGAUUAGCUAGUUGGCGGGGUAAAGGCCCACCAAGGCGACGAUCCGUAGCUGGUCUGAGAGGAUGAUCCGCCACACUGGAACUGAGACACGGUCCAGACUCCUACGGGAGGCAGCAGUGGGGACUAUUGGACAAUGGGCGCAAGCCUGAUCCAGCCAUACCGCGUGGGUGAAGAAGUCCUUCGGGUUGUAAAACCCUUUUGUUGGGAAAGAAAAUCAGCAGGUUAAUACCCCGCUGUUCUGACGGUACCCAAAGAAUAAGCACCGGCUAACUUCGUG
Molecule: ribosomal RNA, 492 nt
Filed under: uncultured bacterium
Lineage: Bacteria
Description: partial 16S ribosomal RNA
Rfam family: Bacterial small subunit ribosomal RNA
Source: RNAcentral